AACGAACGCUGGCGGCAGGCCUAACACAUGCAAGUCGAACGAGACCUUCGGGUCUAGUGGCGCACGGGUGCGUAACGCGUAGGAAUCUACCCUUUGCUACGGAAUAACUCAGAGAAAUUUGUGCUAAUACCGUAUAAUGUCGCAAGACCAAAGAUUUAUCGGCAGAGGACGAGCCCGCGUAGGAUUAGCUUGUUGGUGGGGUAAAAGCCUACCAAGGCGACGAUCCUUAGCUGGUCUGAGAGGAUGAUCAGCCACACUGGGACUGAGACACGGCCCAGACUCCUACGGGAGGCAGCAGUGGGGAAUAUUGGACAAUGGGCGAAAGCCUGAUCCAGCAAUGCCGCGUGAGUGAUGAAGGCCUUAGGGUUGUAAAGCUCUUUUACCAGGGAUGAUAAUGACAGUACCUGGAGAAUAAGCUCCGGCUAACUCCGUGCCAGCCGCCGCAGUAA
RNAcentral lists this ribosomal RNA (449 nucleotides) under uncultured bacterium. RNAcentral's name for it is "partial 16S ribosomal RNA". It matches the Rfam family "Bacterial small subunit ribosomal RNA", at positions 29 to 523 of the family's 1533-position model. The record is from RNAcentral.